UAGGGAAUCUUCCACAAUGGACGCAAGUCUGAUGGAGCAACGCCGCGUGAGUGAAGAAGGCUUUCGGGUCGUAAAACUCUGUUAUUGAAGAAGAACGUGUGUGACAGUAACUGGUCAUGCAGUGACGGUAUUCAAUCAGAAAGUCACGGCUAACUACGUGCCAGCAGCCGCGGUAAUACGUAGGUGGCAAGCGUUGUCCGGAUUUAUUGGGCGUAAAGCGAGUGCAGGCGGUCUUUUAAGUCUGAUGUGAAAGCCUUCGGCUUAACCGAAGAAGGGCAUCGGAAACUGGGAGACUUGAGUGCAGAAGAGGAGAGUGGAACUCCAUGUGUAGCGGUGAAAUGCGUAGAUAUAUGGAAGAACACCAGUGGCGAAGGCGGCUCUCUGGUCUGUAACUGACGCUGGGGCUCGAAAGCGUGGGUAGCAAACAGGAUUAGA
RNAcentral lists this ribosomal RNA (435 nucleotides) under uncultured bacterium. RNAcentral's name for it is "partial 16S ribosomal RNA". It matches the Rfam family "Bacterial small subunit ribosomal RNA", at positions 355 to 782 of the family's 1533-position model. The record is from RNAcentral.